GGUUAAGCGACUAAGCGUACACGGUGGAUGCCCUGGCAGUCAGAGGCGAUGAAGGACGUGCUAAUCUGCGAAAAGCGCCGGCGAGGUGAUAUGAACCCUUGACCCGGCGAUGUCCGAAUGGGGAAACCCAGUGUGAUUCGUCACACUAUCGUUAACUGAAUACAUAGGUUAACGAGGCGAACCGGGGGAACUGAAACAUCUAAGUACCCCGAGGAAAAGAAAUCAACCGAGAUUCCCCCAGUAGCGGCGAGCGAACGGGGAGCAGCCCAGAGUCUGAAUCAGCUUGUGUGUUAGUGGAAGCGUCUGGAAAGUCGCACGGUACAGGGUGAAAGUCCCGUACACGAAAAUGCACAGGCUGUGAACUCGAAGAGUAGGGCGGGACACGUGGUAUCCUGUCUGAAUAUGGGGGGACCAUCCUCCAAGGCUAAAUACUCCUGACUGACCGAUAGUGAACCAGUACCGUGAGGGAAAGGCGAAAAGAACCCCGGCGAGGGGAGUGAAAAAGAACCUGAAACCGUGUACGUACAAGCAGUGGGAGCACCUUCGGGUGUGACUGCGUACCUUUUGUAUAAUGGGUCAGCGACUUAUAUUCUGUAGCAAGGUUAACCGUAUAGGGGAGCCGAAGGGAAACCGAGUCUUAACUGGGCGUUAAGUUGCAGGGUAUAGACCCGAAACCCGGUGAUCUAGCCAUGGGCAGGUUGAAGGUUGGGUAACACUAACUGGAGGACCGAACCGACUAAUGUUGAAAAAUUAGCGGAUGACCUGUGGCUGGGGGUGAAAGGCCAAUCAAACCGGGAGAUAGCUGGUUCUCCCCGAAAGCUAUUUAGGUAGCGCCUCGUGAACUCAUCUUCGGGGGUAGAGCACUGUUUCGGCUAGGGGGCCAUCCCGGCUUACCAACCCGAUGCAAACUACGAAUACCGAAGAAUGUUAUCACGGGAGACACACGGCGGGUGCUAACGUCCGUCGUGAAGAGGGAAACAACCCAGACCGCCAGCUAAGGUCCCAAAGUCAUGGUUAAGUGGGAAACGAUGUGGGAAGGCCCAGACAGCCAGGAUGUUGGCUUAGAAGCAGCCAUCAUUUAAAGAAAGCGUAAUAGCUCACUGGUCGAGUCGGCCUGCGCGGAAGAUGUAACGGGGCUAAACCAUGCACCGAAGCUGCGGCAGCGACACUAUGUGUUGUUGGGUAGGGGAGCGUUCUGUAAGCCGUUGAAGGUGGCCUGUGAGGGUUGCUGGAGGUAUCAGAAGUGCGAAUGCUGACAUAAGUAACGAUAAAGCGGGUGAAAAGCCCGCUCGCCGGAAGACCAAGGGUUCCUGUCCAACGUUAAUCGGGGCAGGGUGAGUCGACCCCUAAGGCGAGGCCGAAAGGCGUAGUCGAUGGGAAACAGGUUAAUAUUCCUGUACUUGGUGUUACUGCGAAGGGGGGACGGAGAAGGCUAUGUUAGCCGGGCGACGGUUGUCCCGGUUUAAGCAUGUAGGCGGAGGUUCCAGGUAAAUCCGGUACCUUUUAACGCUGAGGUGUGAUGACGAGGCACUACGGUGCUGAAGUAACAAAUGCCCUGCUUCCAGGAAAAGCCUCUAAGCAUCAGGUAACAUCAAAUCGUACCCCAAACCGACACAGGUGGUCAGGUAGAGAAUACCAAGGCGCUUGAGAGAACUCGGGUGAAGGAACUAGGCAAAAUGGUGCCGUAACUUCGGGAGAAGGCACGCUGAUAUGUAGGUGAAGCCCCUGCGGGUGGAGCUGAAAUCAGUCGAAGAUACCAGCUGGCUGCAACUGUUUAUUAAAAACACAGCACUGUGCAAACACGAAAGUGGACGUAUACGGUGUGACGCCUGCCCGGUGCCGGAAGGUUAAUUGAUGGGGUUAGCGGUAACGCGAAGCUCUUGAUCGAAGCCCCGGUAAACGGCGGCCGUAACUAUAACGGUCCUAAGGUAGCGAAAUUCCUUGUCGGGUAAGUUCCGACCUGCACGAAUGGCGUAAUGAUGGCCAGGCUGUCUCCACCCGAGACUCAGUGAAAUUGAACUCGCUGUGAAGAUGCAGUGUACCCGCGGCAAGACGGAAAGACCCCGUGAACCUUUACUAUAGCUUGACACUGAACACUGGUCCUUGAUGUGUAGGAUAGGUGGGAGGCUUUGAAGCGUGGACGCCAGUCUGCGUGGAGCC
RNAcentral lists this ribosomal RNA (2160 nucleotides) under Enterobacter cloacae. Its description in RNAcentral is "partial 23S ribosomal RNA". It matches the Rfam family "Bacterial large subunit ribosomal RNA", at positions 1 to 2187 of the family's 2925-position model. Lineage: Bacteria; Pseudomonadati; Pseudomonadota; Gammaproteobacteria; Enterobacterales; Enterobacteriaceae. The record is from RNAcentral.